AAUCUCAUCCCCAUAUUCACCAUUUCAGUGAAGUUUGAGGGAGCACUAGCGAUCAUUCUCUCAUAAUAGAAAGAGCUCAAAGUCUUCAAGAAGAUCUUUGUCAUCUCCUUCUCUUCCAGGGGUGGCACUAUCUAAGCUGCCAGUUCUCGCCAUCUCUGGGCGUACUCCUUAUCCUUCUGGGACAUCUCCCUCAAUUGGUCCCUGUCUGGAGCCAU
RNAcentral lists this long non-coding RNA (215 nucleotides) under Lathyrus oleraceus (garden pea). Its description in RNAcentral is "Pisum sativum (pea) long non-coding RNA (PSAT_LNC005788)". The record is from RNAcentral. Lineage: Eukaryota; Viridiplantae; Streptophyta; Magnoliopsida; Fabales; Fabaceae.